Molecule: ribosomal RNA, 471 nt
Filed under: uncultured beta proteobacterium
Lineage: Bacteria; Pseudomonadati; Pseudomonadota; Betaproteobacteria
Description: bacterial SSU rRNA
Rfam family: Bacterial small subunit ribosomal RNA
Source: RNAcentral
UGGAGGAAAAGSUAGGGGAUCGCAAGACCUUGCGCUYUUGGAGCGGCCGAUGUCUGAUUAGCUAGUUGGUGAGGUAAAGGCUUACCAAGGCGWCGAUCAGUAGCUGGUCUGAGAGGACGACCAGCCACACUGGGACUGAGACACGGCCCAGACUCCUACGGGAGGCAGCAGUGGGGAAUUUUGGACAAUGGGGGAAACCCUGAUCCAGCCAUGCCGCGUGAGUGAAGAAGGCCUUCGGGUUGUAAAGCUCUUUCAGCCGGAACGAAACGGUCACGGCUAAUACCUGUGACYACUGACGGUACCGGAAGAAGAAGCACCGGCUAACUACGUGCCAGCAGCCGCGGUAAUACGUAGGGUGCAAGCGUUAAUCGGAAUUACUGGGCGUAAAGCGUGCGCAGGCGGUUUUGUAAGUCAGAUGUGAAAUCCCCGGGCUUAACCUGGGAACUGCGUUUGAAACUACCAAAAGCUAGA